Molecule: ribosomal RNA, 1407 nt
Filed under: uncultured Rhizaria
Lineage: Eukaryota
Description: SSU rRNA
Rfam family: Eukaryotic small subunit ribosomal RNA
Source: RNAcentral
CGGAGAGGGAGCAUGAGAAACGGCUACCACUUCUAAGGAAGGCAGCAGGCGCGCAAAUUACCCAAUCCUGACUCAGGGAGGUAGUGACAAGAAAUAACAAUAAACCGGCUUAUGCCGGGUUAAUUGGAAUGAGUACAAUUUAAACAUCUUAACGAGGAACAAUUGGAGGGCAAGUCUGGUGCCAGCAGCCGCGGUAAUUCCAGCUCCAAUAGCGUAUACUAAAGUUGUUGCAGUUAAAAAGCUCGUAGUUGGAUUCCUGCGGGGACGGAGCGGUCGGACGCAACUUGCGUCUCGAGCUAGCGCUUUCCCCGCAUCCUGCCGCGAACCGUGCUACCAUUAGGUUGGUGGCGCUGGGGAUCGGCUCGAUUACUUUGAGAAAAAUAGAGUGUUCAAAGCAGGCCACACGCCUUGAAUAAGUUAGCAUGGAAUAAUGACUAAGGACUUUGGUUCUUUUCGUUGGUGUUCGGGACUGAAGUAAUGAUUGAUAGGGACAGUUGGGGCGGGCCGUAUUCCAAAGCGAGAGGUGAAAUUCUUAGACCUUCGGAAGACGAACAGCUGCGAAAGCGUUCCGCAAGGAUGUUCCCUUUGAUCAAGAACGAAAGUUGGAGGAUCGAAGACGAUCAGAUACCGUCGUAGUCUCAACUAUAAACUAUACCAGCUAGAGAUCGGCCAACGUUUAAUUAUUCGACUUGGUCGGCACCUUAUGAGAAAUCAAAGCAUCUGGGUUCCGGGGGGAGUAUGGUCGCAAGGCUGAAACUUAAAGGAAUUGACGGAAGGGCACCACCAGGCGUGGAGCCUGUGCCUUAAUUUGACUCAACACGGGAAAACUUACCAGGUCCAGACAUAGGAAGGAUUGACGGAUUGAUAGCUCUUUCUUGAUUCUGUGGGUGGUGGUGCAUGGCCGUUUUUAGUCGGUGAAGUGAUUUGUCUGCUUAAUUGCGUUAACGGACGAGACCCCAGCCUGCUAAAUAGCGCGGCCGAGCUUUGCUCGGUUCGGGCUUCUUAGAGGGACCAUGAUGCGCGAUAGCACAAGGAAGUUUGGGGCAACAACAGGUCUGUGAUGCCCUUAGAUGUUCUGGGCCGCACACGGGCUACACUGGCGCCUGCAACGAGCAUAUCAGCUGGCCCGAGAGGGUCUUGGCUAAUCUUUGGAACCGGCGCCGUGCUUGGGAUUGACCAUUGCAAUUGUUGGUCAUGCAACGAGGAAUGCCUUGUAAACGCGAGUCAUCAGCUCGCAUUGAAUACGUCCCUGCCCUUUGUACACACCGCCCGUCGCUCCUACCGAUGAAUGUUCCGAUGAAAUUUUCGGAGAGCGCCGGAGAACGGGGCUCUGCCCUGCAGAACUGGAGGCUCAAAGUCACUUAAAUCUGAACAUUUCGAGGAAGGAGAAGUCGUAACAAGGUAACC